GCGCCUCCCUCCUGUGGACGGUGGGCCCCGUGUGCGCAUGUCUGUGGCCGGUGCUGUCCGUGGUCACCCUUGUUUACUGGUUAAUUUUUCCUCCCAACUCCCCGAGGCAGCAUCUGUUUCUGUCAGCCAUGUUCCCCGAGUGGACGAUUUCUUUCAACAACCUCCUUUAAAGGUGAUUAUUUUCAAUAACGAUCAUUGUUUUCUGGAUGCCGGCUUUGGUUUUGAAGCAAAGCGAGGACUACAUUUCCAUGUUGAAGAUGUUUAUUCAAACGUAUGAAAAUACUCCAUGUGUGCCGAGUGUGUCAGGGAGGGAGUUCUCCCAAUUCCGUUCUGCACACAACACAACUUCUACUAGAAAUGAAAAGGACGGUCAGGCACAAGGAACUGCCUGCUGGCCCCUUCCUAACCUCAGCCCCCAGCUCACCGCAGGCCUGGCCCCGAGCCGGUCAUCCCCACCCCCUGCAUCGGAAGUGACUCCCCACCUCGAGGUCACAGCUAGUCACAUGUGCCCAGCACCCUUUCAUCUCUGCCCUCCUCUCCGGUCAAGUGACCUCAGUGCGUGGCCCCAGGCCUCUCCCGCGUGGCCUUGGGCUCUCUUGGGUAAGCACCACGUACAUUUGGACCUUGAAGACUUGGUAAUGAAUAAAAAUC
Talpa occidentalis (Iberian mole) is the source of this 651-nucleotide long non-coding RNA. RefSeq lists it as uncharacterized. NCBI's taxonomy places the organism in Eukaryota, Metazoa, Chordata, Mammalia, Eulipotyphla, Talpidae. The record is from RefSeq and is a predicted model, not a curated record. The transcript is spliced from 3 exons.